GUGCGUAAUAGCUCACUAGUCGAGUGACACUGCGCCGAAAAUGUACCGGGGCUAAACAUAUUACCGAAGCUGUGGAUUGUCCUUUGGACAAUGGUAGGAGAGCGUUCUAAGGGCGUUGAAGCAUGAUCGUAAGGACAUGUGGAGCGCUUAGAAGUGAGAAUGCCGGUGUGAGUAGCGAAAGACGGGUGAGAAUCCCGUCCACCGAUUGACUAAGGUUUCCAGAGGAAGGCUCGUCCGCUCUGGGUUAGUCGGGUCCUAAGCUGAGGCCGACAGGCGUAGGCGAUGGAUAACAGGUUGAUAUUCCUGUACCACCUAUAAUCGUUUUAAUCGAUGGGGGGACGCAGUAGGAUAGGCGAAGCGUGCGAUUGGAUUGCACGUCUAAGCAGUAAGGCUGAGUAUUAGGCAAAUCCGGUACUCGUUAAGGCUGAGCUGUGAUGGGGAGAAGACAUUGUGUCUUCGAGUCGUUGAUUUCACACUGCCGAGAAAAGCCUCUAGAUAGAAAAUAGGUGCCCGUACCGCAAACCGACACAGGUAGUCAAGAUGAGAAUUCUAAGGUGAGCGAGCGAACUCUCGUUAAGGAACUCGGCAAAAUGACCCCGUAACUUCGGGAGAAGGGGUGCUCUUUAGGGUUAACGCCCAGAAGAGCCGCAGUGAAUAGGCCCAAGCGACUGUUUAUCAAAAACACAGGUCUCUGCUAAACCGUAAGGUGAUGUAUAGGGGCUGACGCCUGCCCGGUGCUGGAAGGUUAAGAGGAGUGGUUAGCUUCUGCGAAGCUACGAAUCGAAGCCCCAGUAAACGGCGGCCGUAACUAUAACGGUCCUAAGGUAGCGAAAUUCCUUGUCGGGUAAGUUCCGACCCGCACGAAAGGCGUAACGAUUUGGGCACUGUCUCAACGAGAGACUCGGUGAAAUCAUAGUACCUGUGAAGAUGCAGGUUACCCGCGACAGGACGGAAAGACCCCGUGGAGCUUUACUGUAGCCUGAUAUUGAAAUUCGGCACAGCUUGUACAGGAUAGGUAGGAGCCUUUGAAACGUGAGCGCUAGCUUACGUGGAGGCGCUGGUGGGAUACUACCCUAGCUGUGUUGGCUUUCUAACCCGCACCACUUAUCGUGGUGGGAGACAGUGUCAGGCGGGCAGUUUGACUGGGGCGGUCGCCUCCUAAAAGGUAACGGAGGCGCUCAAAGGUUCCCUCAGAAUGGUUGGAAAUCAUUCAUAGAGUGUAAAGGCAUAAGGGAGCUUGACUGCGAGACCUACAAGUCGAGCAGGGUCGAAAGACGGACUUAGUGAUCCGGUGGUUCCGCAUGGAAGGGCCAUCGCUCAACGGAUAAAAGCUACCCCGGGGAUAACAGGCUUAUCUCCCCCAAGAGUUCACAUCGACGGGGAGGUUUGGCACCUCGAUGUCGGCUCAUCGCAUCCUGGGGCUGUAGUCGGUCCCAAGGGUUGGGCUGUUCGCCCAUUAAAGCGGUACGCGAGCUGGGUUCAGAACGUCGUGAGACAGUUCGGUCCCUAUCCGUCGUGGGCGUAGGAAAUUUGAGAGGAGCUGUCCUUAGUACGAGAGGACCGGGAUGGACAUACCUCUGGUGUACCAGUUGUCGUGCCAACGGCAUAGCUGGGUAGCUAUGUGUGGACGGGAUAAGUGCUGAAAGCAUCUAAGCAUGAAGCCCCCCUCAAGAUGAGAUUUCCCAACUUCGGUUAUAAGAUCCCUCAAAGAUGAUGAGGUUAAUAGGUUCGAGGUGGAAGCAUGGUGACAUGUGGAGCUGACGAAUACUAAUCGAUCGAAGACUUAAUCAAAUU
RNAcentral lists this ribosomal RNA (1794 nucleotides) under Staphylococcus aureus. Its description in RNAcentral is "bacterial LSU rRNA". It matches the Rfam family "Bacterial large subunit ribosomal RNA", at positions 1130 to 2925 of the family's 2925-position model. The record is from RNAcentral. Lineage: Bacteria; Bacillati; Bacillota; Bacilli; Caryophanales; Staphylococcaceae.